AGGACGAACGCUGGCGGCGUGCCUAACACAUGCAAGUUGAGCGACGAACCAGGGCUUGCCCUGGGGCAAAGCAGCGAACGGGUGAGUAACACGUGGGUAACCUGCCCCGAUAACCGGGACAACCCGAGGAAACUCGGGCUAAUACCGGAUGUGCUCGUCAGACUCAAGUCUGACGCGUAAAGGAAGCUUCGGCCUCCGUAUCGGGAGGGGCCCGCGGCCCAUUAGUUAGUUGGUGAGGUAACGGCUCACCAAGACCGCGAUGGGUAGCUGGUCUGAGAGGACGAUCAGCCACACUGGGACUGAGACACGGCCCAGACUCCUACGGAGGCAGCAGUGGGGAAUCUUGCACAAUGGGCGAAAGCCUGAUGCAGCAACGCCGCGUGCGGGAAGAAUGCCUAGGUUGUAAACCGCUUUCAGCAGGGAAGAAACAAGACGGUACCUGUAGAAGAAGGUGCGGCCAACUACGUGCCAGCAGCCGC
This 479-nucleotide ribosomal RNA is filed under the name uncultured bacterium. Its description in RNAcentral is "SSU rRNA". It matches the Rfam family "Bacterial small subunit ribosomal RNA", at positions 26 to 518 of the family's 1533-position model. The record is from RNAcentral.